Molecule: ribosomal RNA, 442 nt
Filed under: uncultured bacterium
Lineage: Bacteria
Description: partial 16S ribosomal RNA
Rfam family: Bacterial small subunit ribosomal RNA
Source: RNAcentral
CCUACGGGAGGCAGCAGUGAGGAAUAUUGGGCAAUGGGCGCAAGCCUGACCCAGCAACGCCGCGUGAAGGAAGACGGCUUUCGGGUUGUAAACUUCUUUUGUCAUGGAAGAGUAGAAGACGGUACCUGACGAAUAAGCCACGGCUAACUACGUGCCAGCAGCCGCGGUAAUACGUAGGUGGCAAGCGUUGUCCGGAUUUAAUGGGUGUAAAGGGCGUGUAGCCGGGUUGACAAGUCAGAUGUGAAAUCCUGCGGCUUAACCGCAGAACUGCAUUUGACACUGUUGAUCUUGAGUACUGGAGAGGCAGAUGGAAUUCCUAGUGUAGCGGUGAAAUGCGUAGAUAUUAGGAGGAACACCAGUGGCGAAGGCGGUCUGCUGGACAGCAACUGACGGUGAGGCGCGAAAGCGUGGGGAGCAAACAGGAUUAGAUACCCUUGUAGUC